UGGGGGAUAUUGCACAAUGGGCGAAAGCCUGAUGCAGCGACGCCGCGUGGGGGAUGAAGGCUUUCGGGUUGUAAACCUCUUUCGCUAUCGAACAAGGCCCGCUUAGGGUGGGUUGAGGGUAGGUGGAGAAGAAGCGCCGGCUAACUACGUGCCAGCAGCCGCGGUAAUACGUAGGGCGCGAGCGUUGUCCGGAAUUAUUGGGCGUAAAGGGCUUGUAGGCGGCUUGUUGCGCCUGCUGUGAAAACGCGGGGCUUAACUUCGCGCGUGCAGUGGGUACGGGCAGGCUUGAGUGUGGUAUGGGUGACUGGAAUUCCAGGUGUAGCGGUGGAAUGCUCAGAUAUCUGGAGGAACACCGAUGGCGAAGGCAGGUCACUGGGCCAUUACUGACGCUGAGGAGCGAAAGCAUGGGUAGCGAACAGG
Molecule: ribosomal RNA, 420 nt
Filed under: bacterium
Lineage: Bacteria
Description: partial 16S ribosomal RNA
Rfam family: Bacterial small subunit ribosomal RNA
Source: RNAcentral